UUUGACGGGUAGCCGGCCUGAGAGGGCGACCGGCCACACUGGGACUGAGACACGGCCCAGACUCCUACGGGAGGCAGCAGUGGGGAAUAUUGCACAAUGGGCGGAAGCCUGAUGCAGCGACGCCGCGUGAGGGAUGACGGCCUUCGGGUUGUAAACCUCUUUCAGCAGGGACGAAGCGAAAGUGACGGUACCUGCAGAAGAAGCGCCGGCCAACUACGUGCCAGCAGCCGCGGUAAGACGUAGGGCGCGAGCGUUGUCCGGAUUUAUUGGGCGUAAAGAGCUCGUAGGCGGCUUGUUGCGUCGUCCGUGAAAACCUGGGGCUCAACUCCAGGCUUGCGGUCGAUACGGGCAGGCUAGAGUUCGGUAGGGGAGACUGGAAUUCCUGGUGUAGCGGUGAAAUGCGCAGAUAUCAGGAGGAACACCGGUGGCGAAGGCGGGUCUCUGGGCCGAUACUGACGCUGAGGAGCGAAAGCGUGGGGAGCGAACAGGAUUAGAUACCCUGGUAGUCCACGCUGUAAACGUUGGGCGCUAGGUGUGGGGGGCCUCUCCGGUUUCCUGCGCCGUAGCUAACGCAUUAAGCGCCCCGCCUGGGGGAGUACG
RNAcentral lists this ribosomal RNA (600 nucleotides) under Catellatospora sp. MS-E4. RNAcentral describes it as "bacterial SSU rRNA". It matches the Rfam family "Bacterial small subunit ribosomal RNA", at positions 275 to 884 of the family's 1533-position model. The record is from RNAcentral. Lineage: Bacteria; Bacillati; Actinomycetota; Actinomycetes; Micromonosporales; Micromonosporaceae.